GUAAAUUCAUUUCGCUGAGAAAGUUUGUUCAUUAAAAAUAUGGAUUUUAAACGUCUGAGCUGCGACACGAAACCACCAGUCGCUGAGAUACCUCAAACAGAUGAUGAGAAUGGUACAGACUUCUCCGCAGGACCGUCGGACGAGUACGUCCCCGAUUCGGAUGAUAAUGUACUGGCUUUGGCAGAUGAAUUAGAUAAUUCAGUGAUAAAGACAGCAGAUGUAGUUUUAGAAGAAAUUGCAGACUGUGGUGAUACUUAUAUCAAUAACAAGAAUGAAAAUGGUAGAAAUAUACUUACGCGAAAGAGAAAGAUUGAAAGUCAUAAAUGCGUGCAGAAUAAAAGGAAGUAUCAUCGCAACAAAGGGAACCCGUAUGUCACUAACAGUGGCAAAAGAGUUGAAGAACGUGUUCCGAAACCCAUUGACUGUAAGUGCCGCCAUAAUUGCACAGAAAACUUCUCAGCAGAAGAGCGCACAGAUAUCAAUGCAGACUAUUGGAAUUUAGGCGACUAUUCGAGGCAGCGACUGUUCCUGGCCAAUUGCGUGAAGAUUGAGAAGUGCAAAAGGACGUUGACAAUUGGAUCACGGCGGGCGAACACAUUUAGUUAUACUCUCAAAGCCAAACAGCCAAGAAGAUGUGCCAAAAUGAAUUUACUGAUAAGAGGGGUCAACAUGGCCACCAGAGAAAAUUAAACGAAGAGACAGUUGCGCUUAUCAAACAGCACAUCGAGUUAUUUCCAGCCAUCGAAAGCCAUUACACUCGAGCAAAAAGUCAACGAUUUUAUCUUGUCUCCGAUGUAACAAAUGUACGAUUUAUUCAAAGAACUCCACCCGGACGCUAUCAUUAAAGAAAACGUUUAUCGCCGGAUAUUUUGCAUGGAUUAUAAUUAUUCUUUCCACCGUCCAAAAAAGGACACCUGCUUAACAUGCGAGAGGUACAAAAACGCUGAGGACAAAGACUCAUUUCGGAAAUCCUAUGAUGAACACAUCUUAAAUAAGACAAAGGCAAGAACUAACAAGCAAACUGACAAGAAAUCAGCUAAAAGUAACAGUAAUUUAAAAGUGUUUACUUCUGAUCUCCAGUCAGUGUUAACGACUCCUUGUAGCAACGUAAGGACGAUGUAUUACAGUCGACACAUUUUACGACAUUGCCAGUGGAGAAGGUUACUGUUCUCUAUGGGAUGAAAAUCAGGGUCAACGAGGAUCGGACGAAAUUGGGACCACUAUAUUAAAAAUGAUGAACUCGUUAGACGAAUCUGUAACCGAUGUUAUUCUCUACUCCGACUGCUGCGGGGGACAAAACAGAAACAGGUUCAUUGCUACACUAUUGAUUUAUAUCAACAAUACCUUGAAGCUUAAUUCGAUAACAAUUAAGUACCUCCAAAGCGGACACACACAAAUGGAGGCAGAUUCGAUACACUCUGCAAUAGAACGUGCGAAGAGAAGUAUAUGCGUUUAUUCGCCGGAAGAAUGGCCAACCAUAAUGAGACUGGCAAGACGGAAAAACCUAUAUGCUGUAGAGAGGCUUCAAUACAGUGAUAUGAUUAAUCUCAAAGCCAUGUUUUCUAGUUUAGGCCAUAGCCUUAAGAAAAAUAUAAAAAAUGACUCGGAAUGGGAUGGAGACUUGAAAGUAAUUGAUAUUGGAGGAACGCGAAAAAUAAAAGAGGUAUUCAACUUUUCGUUUACUGGCAAACACAAUAAAGAGCUGCCAAUUUGUAAUCGAAAGUGCAUGAUCUUCAAAAUUUGUGCAAAAAGAGUGUAAUUCCUCGUGGCUCGCAGUCAUUUUUUUUAACAUACGAGGUGGAAACAAGCGAAAUUGUUUAGAUAAGCCAGAUGUAGCAGAGGAAGAGAAAGAAGACGAACGAAUUUCUAUUUAUUUUUGAUUUACGCA
Molecule: unclassified non-coding RNA, 1888 nt
Filed under: Bactrocera latifrons
Lineage: Eukaryota; Metazoa; Arthropoda; Insecta; Diptera; Tephritidae
Description: uncharacterized LOC108977219, transcript variant X3
Source: RNAcentral